AGAACGAACGCUGGCGGCAGGCCUCAAACAUGCAAGUCUAGGGGGUGUAGCAAUACAUCACCGGCGGACGGGUGCGUAACACGUGGGAAUAUACCUUUUGGUUCGGAACAACGCAGGGAAACUUGCGCUAAUACCGAAUGUGCCCUUACGGGGAAAGAUUUAUCGCCAAAGGAUUAGCCCGCGUAGGAUUAGCUAGUUGGUGAGGUAAUGGCUCACCAAGGCUCCGAUCCUUAGCUGUUCUGAGAGGAAGAUCAGCCACACUGGGACUGAGACACGGCCCAGACUCCUACGGGAGGCAGCAGUUGGGAAUCUUGGACAAUGGGGGAAACCCUGAUCCAGCCAUGCCGCGUGAGUGAUGAAGGCCUUCGGGUUGUAAAACUCUUUCGACGGGGACGAGUAAUGACGGUACCCGUAGAAGAAGCUCCGGCUAACUUCGUGCCAGCAGCCGC
RNAcentral lists this ribosomal RNA (449 nucleotides) under uncultured bacterium. RNAcentral describes it as "SSU rRNA". It matches the Rfam family "Bacterial small subunit ribosomal RNA", at positions 26 to 518 of the family's 1533-position model. The record is from RNAcentral.